Molecule: unclassified non-coding RNA, 328 nt
Filed under: soil metagenome
Description: partial contains 5.8S ribosomal RNA, internal transcribed spacer 2, and large subunit ribosomal RNA
Rfam family: 5.8S ribosomal RNA (bases 1-119)
Source: RNAcentral
GAUGAAGAACGCAGCGAAAUGCGAUAAGUAGUGUGAAUUGCAGAAUUCAGUGAAUCAUCGAAUCUUUGAACGCACAUUCGCCCCUUGGUAUCCCGAGGGGCAUGCCUGUUCGAGCGUCAUUUCACCACUCAAGCCUGGCUUGGUGUUGGGCGACGUCCUCUUUGGGGACGCGCCUCGAAACGCUCGGCGGCGUGGCACCGGCUUUAAGCGUAGCAGAAUCUUUCGCUUUGGAAGUCGGGGCCCCGUCUGCCGGAAGACCUGCUCGCAAGGUUGACCUCGGAUCAGGCAGGGAUACCCGCUGAACUUAAGCAUAUCAAUAAGCGGAGGA